This 253-nucleotide ribosomal RNA is filed under the name uncultured bacterium. RNAcentral's name for it is "partial 16S ribosomal RNA". It matches the Rfam family "Bacterial small subunit ribosomal RNA", at positions 524 to 776 of the family's 1533-position model. The record is from RNAcentral.
UACGAAGGGGGCAAGCGUUGUUCGGAAUUACUGGGCGUAAAGGGCGCGUAGGCGGCUUAUCAAGUCAGGCAUGAAAUUCCCGGGCUCAACCUGGGGGCUGCGCUUGAUACUGAUGAGCUUGAAUGCGGGAGAGGAUAGUGGAAUUCCCAGUGUAGAGGUGAAAUUCGUAGAUAUUGGGAAGAACACCGGUGGCGAAGGCGGCUAUCUGGCCCGUAAUUGACGCUGAGGCGCGAAAGCGUGGGGAGCGAACAGG